CUGAUUACGACACUUUUGUUU
Molecule: small nuclear RNA, 21 nt
Filed under: Arabidopsis thaliana (thale cress)
Lineage: Eukaryota; Viridiplantae; Streptophyta; Magnoliopsida; Brassicales; Brassicaceae
Description: snRNA_10946
Source: RNAcentral